AACAGAUAUGUAUAUGUUUGAAUUUUUGUAAAUUGUCUUGGGUCCUAGAUUGGGGAAAGCAUAAGAUAAAUAUAGUAAUAGUAAUAGAGUCAUGGAGAGAGAGACAGGUAAACAGACUUCUCCUCAUCCUCCUAUCAUACAGAUGCUAGGACAAGGGCACAAAAGUAACCAAUCAGUAAACGCAAAUAACUACUUACCAUUCAGAAUCUAUUUCCUCUUAGCUACCAUACACCACAAAUUGCUACACCAAAUGUAUAUCAGAAAGAGAUGUUCUUGCUUGUCUGGAGAAUUCUAUAGGUUAACAAUUGCUGUCAAGAACCAAGUGUAGAAAGAUGUCUUGUAUUCAUAGCAUCCUGUGAAAGGAAACUGAAAUCUGAUUUAAAUUCAACUGAAAUUGAUUUUUUUCAUAUCUAUUCUUAGUACAGUACAACAUCUUUUCCAUCAGAAAAAUCUCAUUAAUUCUUAACAAUCUCACAUAGAUAUAUCAACAAAUAUUACUCACAAAACAGCAUUUAUCCAUUUUAGUAUAAUGGUUUAGAUUCUGGAUUAUGACUGGAGACCAGGACUUAAAUCUUUCCUCAGCCAUAGAAACCAAUUGAGUUGGGCAAGACACCUUCUCUCAGCCUUAAAGGAUGGCAAAGGACCUUACAGGACCUUCUUGGAAUAAAUAGUGACAAGAAUACCUCAUUAUAGUGUCACUUUAUGAUCACCAUAAGUCAGAAAUGACUCGAAAACAAAGAAUAUCAACAAAAGAAGAUGAAAAGGAGAUCGAUAUUAUGGAGGAGUCUUUGAAUGCAUGUAUUUUCAUACAAAUAAUAACUAUCAGUAGCUAUUACCUGUUCUAACAACAUUGAUGUGGAAGAAACAUUAUUGAGGGCAAAAUGUUCCCCGGGCUGGAAAAUAAAUGGAAGUAGGAGAAGAGAUGAAACGCAUAAGGCAGGGGAAAAUGAAAGACUGCUUAGAUGUAGGAAACAAUGAAGCAAAAAGAACAAAGAUUCACUCAAGGAGAAGGAAACAAACAGGAAGUGUGAUGUGACGAAAGAGCAAUUAUCUGAACAGAAAAUAUCACAAGGCUAAAGCAAGUGUAAUCUCGCCACUGUAUCAUGAGUUAAGUUAAUUGCUCUUGUAUGUUGAUAACGGAGUCUAUGUUCUAGACUAGAAGGGCUACUGAAGUUUAUAUAAACCUAAACAUGAGGUUGGUUCUCAUAAUAAUAUUUACUCAAGAGUAAGGCCUACUUAAAGUGGGAUUUGCUUCCAUGCUCUCAUACAAAGGACUAGGCUGUUGGAAUUGUAUAAAGCCCUAAACAACUGCCUAUUAAGCAAUCAUUAUUUAUACCACAGGAUAGGACUAAUAAAGAUGCACCACAUUGCAAAAGGUUCAAUUUGAGAUGUGUUACAGGAUCCUUUACCACUAUACCUGACCCCUUUGAGGUCCAAAUCUGCUGUUUUUUGCAAUUGUGCCUUAUUAUAUCCUAACAUCAUGAAUAGAAAAUCCAAUAUUUCUAGAUUUUACUAUGAAGAGACCACAGAGACUUUGUAGCAUUCAACUUAAAAUGCUUUUAUUGACAGUGUCUUGAACAGUAAGCGAACAAUGCUUAAAUUUUAUCCAAAUUCACUAUCCACAUGUCAAUACCUCCAGGUAGAAAAAAAACCAAAAUAAAUAAAUAUCCAUAAAUAAAUUAAAA
This is a long non-coding RNA of Anolis carolinensis (green anole), 1685 nucleotides long. RefSeq lists it as uncharacterized. Lineage: Eukaryota; Metazoa; Chordata; Lepidosauria; Squamata; Anolidae. The record is from RefSeq and is a predicted model, not a curated record. The transcript is spliced from 3 exons.